Molecule: ribosomal RNA, 237 nt
Filed under: Glomeromycotina sp.
Lineage: Eukaryota; Fungi; Glomeromycota
Description: partial small subunit ribosomal RNA
Rfam family: Eukaryotic small subunit ribosomal RNA (bases 40-237)
Source: RNAcentral
GGGUCAGUAGGUUGGUCGUGCCACCGGUACGUACUGGUCUCACUAAUUCCUCCUUCCUGAAGAACCGUAAUGCCAUUAAUUUGGUGUUGCGGGGAAACAGGACUGUUACUUUGAAAAAAUUAGAGUGUUUAAAGCAAGCUAACGCUUGAAUACAUUAGCAUGGAAUAAUGAAAUAGGACGAUCGAUCCUAUUUUGUUGGUUUCUAGGAUUGACGUAAUGAUUAAUAGGGAUAUUGGG